UGGGGAAUUUUGGACAAUGGGCGAAAGCCUGAUCCAGCAAUGCCGCGUGUGUGAAGAAGGCCUUCGGGUUGUAAAGCACUUUUGUCCGGAAAGAAAUCCUUGGCUCUAAUACAGUCGGGGGAUGACGGUACCGGAAGAAUAAGCACCGGCUAACUACGUGCCAGCAGCCGCGGUAAUACGUAGGGUGCAAGCGUUAAUCGGAAUUACUGGGCGUAAAGCGUGCGCAGGCGGUUUGCUAAGACCGAUGUGAAAUCCCCGGGCUCAACCCGGGAACUGCAUUGGUGACUGGCAGGCUAGAGUAUGGCAGAGGGGGGUAGAAUUCCACGUGUAGCAGUGAAAUGCGUAGAGAUGUGGAGGAAUACCGAUGGCGAAGGCAGCCCCCUGGGCCAAUACUGACGCUCAUGCACGAAAGCGUGGGGAGCAAACAGGAUUAGAUACCCUGGUAGUCCACGCCCUAAACGAUGUCAACUAGUUGUUGGGGAUUCAUUUCCUUAGUAACGUAGCUAACGCGUGAAGUUGACCGCCUGGGGAGUACGGUCGCAAGAUUAAAACUCAAAUGAAUUGACGGGGUCAUA
RNAcentral lists this ribosomal RNA (575 nucleotides) under uncultured bacterium. RNAcentral's name for it is "partial 16S ribosomal RNA". It matches the Rfam family "Bacterial small subunit ribosomal RNA", at positions 355 to 923 of the family's 1533-position model. The record is from RNAcentral.